This is a small nucleolar RNA of Cricetulus griseus (Chinese hamster), 80 nucleotides long. Ensembl annotates it as small nucleolar RNA SNORD72. Its record names the gene Snord72. The record is from Ensembl. NCBI's taxonomy places the organism in Eukaryota, Metazoa, Chordata, Mammalia, Rodentia, Cricetidae.
GGCUUAUCAGUGAUGUUCUAAAAAUAAAUGUCUGAACAUAUGAAUGCUAUACUGAUUUCAGCAUUUAGCUGAGAUAAGCU